GAACGGUGUGGCCACGAGAGUCUAGAGGAAACCAACCCGCAACUCACUGGAGCUGAAGGGCUGGUAGUCAGGCCGAAUCUCGCGAGAAUUGGAACUAUUUCAGAGCCAGAGGAGGAUAGUGGCGGCGGCGAACUUUGCCCGGUAGAUUUUACUGACUGGGGUGCUGGCGCGCGCCUUUUUCUCGGCCAGAAUCCAGUUAUUGGGAUAGUCUUGACUUCUACCUCAGCCCAACUUCUGUGGUCGUAAUAUUAGUUUAGCUUGGGUUUGCCGUGAAGUAAGAAGACUGACUUCCGCAAAGGUACUGAACGACUGGGUGUAGGUGCCAGGGCAUGGACGUGAAGCUGGAACCGCGAAAUGAGUUAGUUGUGGGCCGCUGGCCUCAAGGAGCGAACGUCAGCGCGAAGAGGAGAAGCUUGUGCAUACGCUCUGAUAAGGGUUUUAAUAGAGAGAUGGAAUCUCGCUGUGUCACCCAGGCUGGAAUGCAGUGACUCGAUCAUAACUCACUAUGACCUCGAACUCCCAGGCUAAAGCAGUCCUCAAGCAAUCCUUCCACCUCAGCCUUCUGAGUAGCUGGGAGUAGCUGAUUAACUAAUGCGUGUCACCACGCCCAGCUAAUUUGUGUAUGUGUGUGCACAGGUGUAGAGCUAGGGGUCUUGCUAUGUUGCUCAGGCUAGUCUUGAACUCCUGGCCUCAAGCAGUCUUGUCUUGACCUCUCAAACCAGUGGGACUGUAGGUGUGAGCCAUUGCUCCUGGCUGAGCACUGUUUUUUUUAGGACAGACUGUAUUCAUUGUUGCAAUCUUCAGCUUUUGGAACAUCGUCUAGGACAGAGAAGCUGCACAAUAUGUAUUUAUCGAAUGAGUGAAUGAUACUUUUGGGAGAGAAGACAGUGGGUUGGAGAAAUAUCUUGGAAGAAUUGGAAAUUUUAGGUGGACCUUGAAGAAAGGGUAAAAUUCAAUUAGGACACAAGCAGUGAUCAAAAGCAUUGAGUUGGGAACAAAGUGGUAGGAUGUGGGAGUUAGUAUAUAGUAAAAACAACUAAAAUAUAGAAAGAGAUUAUGUGUUUAAUAGAAAUAGGAUUGACUAAAGUGAAUCCACGUUGUAUCUGUAAGAGGUCCAUCGUUGAACUUUAUUUUUUUUUGUUUUGUUUUUGAGACAGGGUCUCACUCUGUUAUCUAGGCUGGAGUGCGGUGGCACAAUCUCAGCUCACUGCAGCCUCAGCCUCCCAGGUUCAAGUGAUUCUCCUGCUUCAGCCUCCCAUAUAGGGAUUACAGGCCUGCACCACCACACCUGGCUAAUUUUUGUAUUUUUAGUACAGACGGGAUUUCACCAUGUUGGCCAGGCUGGUCUCGAACUCCUGACUUCAAGUGAUCCACCCGCCUCGGCCUUCCAGAGUGCUGGGAUUACAGGGUUGAGCCACCACACCCAGCCUCAUGGUUGAAUUUUAGGAGAGCCGUACAUCUCCUCCUGAUAAUACAUGCAAAACUUCAUGUGUCCAUUUUUUUCUGAGUUGAAGUUUCAUAGUUUUCAUCCAAUUCUCAAAGGUGUUUAUAAACCAAUAAAGGUUAAGAAUCAUGUUGUGCAUUUGAAAGACUAAUAGAAAGGCUUAAGCUUAAUGCUGUAGCAAAUUAGUCUUCAAAAGUUUUCUACCAUAGCAUUCAUUAGGAACAGAAGAGGGGGAAUGAGACCCUAAGAUUUAGAGAUGAAGUCUGAAACUUAGGACUUUAUAUUUAUCUGAACAUCAUAUGUAAAUUUUACUAUUAUGGGACUGGUAUUAAUGCUUCCUUAUAAAAAUAUAUUUAGCCUCAUCAGUGAUCAGGGAACCAUAUUUGGGACCAGUCUGUUCAGUUGGCAAAAAUUAAAAAGGCCAUCAUAUCAGAAAGGAGAAGGUAAAAUGAUUUGUUCACAGACAGCAUGAUCUUUUAUGUACAAAACCCUAAAGAUUCCACCCAAAAAACCCUGUUAGAACUAAAAAACAAAGUUGCAGGAUGCAAAACCACACAAAAUUUAGUUGCAUUUCGAUGUAAAAUUUAAAAAGGAAAUCUUAAAAAUUCCAUUUGCAACAGCAUCAGAACUAAAAUACUUGUGAAUAAAUUUAACCAAAGAGGCAAGACUUGUACACUGACAACUACAAACAUUGCUGAAGC
This 2145-nucleotide long non-coding RNA is filed under the name Homo sapiens (human). RNAcentral's name for it is "non-protein coding lnc-UCK2-1:2". Lineage: Eukaryota; Metazoa; Chordata; Mammalia; Primates; Hominidae. The record is from RNAcentral.